UUAUUUAAUGGCCGCGGUAUUUUGACCGUGCAAAGGUAGCAUAAUCAUUAGUUUAUUAAUUGUGAACUUGUAUGAAUGGUUGGACGAAAUAUUGACUGUCUCAGUUUAAUUUAUUGAAUUUAAAAUUUGAGUUAAAAUGCUUAAUUGUUUUUAUAGGACGAGAAGACCCUAUAGAUCUUUAUUUAUAAUUUUAUUUAUUAUUUUUGGGUUAUAUUUUUAUAUUUUAUUAUAUUUUUUGUUGGGGUGACAUGGAGAAAUAUUUAACUCUUUAUUUUGUUUUACAUUUUUUAUGGAUUAUUGACCUUUUAUUAUUGUUAUAAGAUAUAGAUACCUUAGGGAUAACAGCGUAAUUAAAUUUGAGAGUUCAUAUCGACAGUUUAGAUUGCGACCUCGAUGUUGGAUUAAGAUAAUGAUUAGGUGAAGGAGUCUAAUUAUUAGGUCUGUUCGACCUUUAAAUUCUUACAUGAUCUGAGUUCAAAACCGGAG
RNAcentral lists this ribosomal RNA (486 nucleotides) under Eurycnema osiris. RNAcentral's name for it is "partial large subunit ribosomal RNA". It matches the Rfam family "Bacterial large subunit ribosomal RNA", at positions 1920 to 2621 of the family's 2925-position model. The record is from RNAcentral. Lineage: Eukaryota; Metazoa; Arthropoda; Insecta; Phasmatodea; Phasmatidae.